This 945-nucleotide long non-coding RNA is filed under the name Nicotiana tabacum (common tobacco). Its description in RNAcentral is "long non-coding RNA (NTAB_LNC015088)". Lineage: Eukaryota; Viridiplantae; Streptophyta; Magnoliopsida; Solanales; Solanaceae. The record is from RNAcentral.
CCAUUAACCCCUUUCCCCUCUUUAUACCCUAAAUCCCUCACAUUAAAGAGGGGGAGAUCGAAAAGAUCCAUCAGACCUCUAAGAAAGAAGAGGGAACGACGGACCUUCUAGGUUCUCUUCUUCAUUUUCAGUUUCUGAAAACACCACAAAACCAGCGACUCCUUCACUCAUACACACUCAAUUCACACUCUCUUACACAUGCCUAAGCCCUAGUAGCAGCUGAAAAUUCUAGAAUUCCAGAUCUGAAUUUCAAAAUUUCAAAAUCUCAAAAACAAACAACAAAACUGAACCAAAAAAGAGUUACAAAGUUGAUUCAAGUCUCAGUUUCAUAUGCUUUAUAUUCUCUAGAAAUUUCAAAGCUUAAUCAAGUUGUAAAGGUGUCGUUAUUUAUAGGUUUGUUGUUCUCCGCAUAGCUAGGCUCCGAUUUGCUGAUCUCAGUCCCUGUUUGAGUUGUUUUAAUUUGUUUUACUGCUGAUAAGAGAGUCGCUGCUAAAGCUCACUCUUAUUUCACACCUUAUUUGGUCAAUUUCGUUGUUGUUGUUGUCUGUCUCAUCGCUGAGCUCCCUGCUCCUUUCUUUGCUUUUAUUAGGGAUAAUUUCGCAAUGUAUUAUUGCUGAUUGAGGUAUGGAUUUCAGUCCAAAAAUGAUGUAAUUAAUUUUGAAGGCCAUCUUCUCUAUGAUUGUUUUGUUGGAAUUCACACUCGAUUCCAUUCUUUCUUAUGUUUGGAUUGAAAGUAAUAAGACAUUAUUUUGAUUCCUUUGAGAUAUAAGAACAUAGAAUUGUUCGAUUCCUUUAAGCUAAAUCUUAAUCAUGUUAGGUUGGGUAUUUGUUGGUAAAAUUCUGUGCAUUGGGUACUGUUGCUAUCAUUGGUUUCAUGUUUAGUUUGAAUUGUUUAGCACUUUUUAUGGUUAAACAUUUUGAUGGCUAAUCCAUUUUGUACCUGAG